This 426-nucleotide ribosomal RNA is filed under the name Triticum aestivum (bread wheat). RNAcentral describes it as "partial small subunit ribosomal RNA". Lineage: Eukaryota; Viridiplantae; Streptophyta; Magnoliopsida; Poales; Poaceae. The record is from RNAcentral.
AUGUCAAUGGUCAUCGUGUUACUUCGUUCUGGUCCUGUAGUCGUACUAGGCAUCGGUGGACCUUCGAGGGACUUGCGUAUCCGAAGGGGUACUUGGCGAUCGACGGACGUCGUGGUACUUGUCGGUCUGGGUCUUGGCGUAUCCGUGUUCUCUCAAAGCAGUUGUACAGUGCAGUGGCCUGGAGCGGCACCGAUCCAGUCAACGCAGCAGUUCUCCUCCCGUUCGAAGUACAGGAGGCCGUCCAUGGAGGUUGAGGCCGCGAUGUCGGCUGAUGAACUGAAGGAGGCGACACCUCGACUCCUGCAGCAAAACAACGGCGAGGCGGAGAAGGGGCCGGCAGGCAGUAGAGGUCACGGGGAACGCAGGGGCCGCCGGCGAGCUCGCUCGGGGAGCUCCUCGGGCGCAUCUGAUCGAGGUCGAAGCUGA